This is a small nucleolar RNA of Hevea brasiliensis (rubber tree), 107 nucleotides long. The record is from RefSeq and is a predicted model, not a curated record. NCBI's taxonomy places the organism in Eukaryota, Viridiplantae, Streptophyta, Magnoliopsida, Malpighiales, Euphorbiaceae.
AUCCCAUGAUGUGGACAUCUCUUUUGAAUAUCCUUGUAUCUCUCCAAUGCUUCAUAAAGAGUUUCAUCAUCCUUGGGUUUAAAAGAAGUCAAUUCAUUCCUCAAUUU